CAGAAAUGAGGAACAUUUAGCAAACAUUGAUUAGGAAAAUGCUUAAACUGAUAAUUAGAUUUAAUGAUACACAUACGAAAUGAGAGGGGAUACAACAAAAAUUUGAAUGUCUCAAAAAAGAAACGCCCUUAAUAAUAAAGAAUUUUACUCAAAGGAGCAAUCUAAAGAGAAUUAGCUAUAUACAUAGUCCACUUAUUCAAGGCAUAGCGAUGAAUUUUAUCUCUAUAGUGAUGCAACACCAACGGGACAGUUAAUUGCAAAAUUAGAAUAGAUCUAUGGGGAGGGGAAAUUAGAGAGAAGAAGGGAAGAAAGAAACAGGAAGAGAGAAAAAUGCUGUAAGCCACAAAAUAAUAUUCAUUCAUCAUCAACUGAAAAUUAUAAUGUAAAAUAGGUUUAAAUAGUUAAGCAAUCCUAACGAGCUUGGACCCGAGCCCAUACAAGUCCAAAUCUUAAAUAAUAGUUCAAAAGAUAAAUAAAGUAUAAACGAAGUUUAAAUAAAAUAAGUCACGUCCGAUGUCCUCAUCAACUCUCUUGGGGUGGGAGAAAACUCGACCCUGUCGAGUGAAUAUCUCACUCUAGGCUGUCAUCAAUCUCCCAACCAUAAGCUGAGUGGUUGGGCAAGUUUCUUCCGACGUCUGUAAAAAUAUGUCAAUGAAGGUCUGAACUUGGUGUCCUCACCAACUCCCCUUGGGUGAACGGGAGGCGAUCUAGGCCAAGGAUGAUCCUGUUGACUUCGAUAAAACCCCAAUAAAUUUGGAUCCAAUUGCUGUAGUGUCUCUCUGGAGAUUCAUGUACAAUCAGAAUUUGGUCGACCAACCCAACGAACGAGGAAGCGCUGAACCUCUCCAUCAUUAGUAAACACAGUUUAUUCAUUUAAAAUGACAUCAAUUUUAUCUGUGUGUGCUGUGAGAGGUGGUAGUGGGUUCGAAGUGGCCAAGUAGUCGGGAUCAAGGUCCACAAAAGGAGGUAACAAAGGGUCAUCUGAGGGAAUGAAAUAACCUUUAUAAGCUACUAGGUCCUCAACAUUGAAAGUAGAAUGGUAACCAAGAUGUGGUGGAAUAUCUACAACAUAAGCAUUUGGACCAAUUUGCUUUAAAAUUUUAAAAGGACCAGCACUACGAGCUUGCAAUUUGGAGGCGGGUCCAUGUAGACGCCGCUCUGGCCUAAUGCGGACCAUAACGUAAUCCCCAACGUGAAACUCAAUAUGUCGUUUAUGCAAAUCAGCUUGGAGUUUAUAUUGUGCAUUACUAGCUUCAAGUUGUUUAUUGAUCUCAAUAUGCAAAUCACGAAGAUGUUGUGCAAAUGCUUCGGCUGACACUGACGCUCUAGCCUGUGGGGACAUAGGGAUGAGAUCUAACGGUUCCCUAGGCUUGUACCCAUGAACGGCUUCAAAUGGACUCAUACCUAAUGAACGAUUUAUGGAGCUAUUAUACGCAAUUUGAGUUACAGGAAGGAUCAAAUCCCAAUUUCGAAGAUUUUCCUGGACCAAACAACGCAAUAGGUUACCAAGACUUCUAUUAACUACUUCAAUUUGACCGUCAGUCUGAGGGUGGUAGGCCAUGGAAAAUUUUAAUUUGGUACCCAUCUGUUGCCACAAGGUCCUCCAAAAAUCGCUAGUGAAACGAACAUACUAUCGGACAUAAUGGUCUUCGGAAGCCCAUACAAUUUAACAAUCUCAUUAAAGAACAACAUAGUUACUUUAGACGCAUAUGAGGUUUUACUACAGGGGAUAAAAUGAGCCAUUUUCGAAAAACGGUCGACAACCACAAAAAUAGAAUCAUGUUUCUUUGGGGUGCGUGGAAGGCCUAAUACAAAAUCCAUACUAACGUCUUGCCAAGGACAAUUGGGGACGGGAAGAGGGGUGUAUAGACCUGUGUUCUGCUUAUUCUAUUUACUUAAUUGACAAGUGUUACAAGUACUAACAAUCUUAGCCACGUCUUUCUUCAAGUUAGGCCAAUAGAAUUGACGAUCAACUUCUUCUAUGGUCUUAUCACGUUCAAAAUGACCGGAUAACCCUCCAGCAUGAAUUUCCCACACUAUGAAAUCGAGAACUGAAGUUCGAGGGAUGAACAAUUUAUUGAUUCUAAAGAGAUAACCCUCCUCAAGUCGGAAGCCAUCUGUGGCGCCUGACUGUCCUCUUUGUAAAUGAAGAAAGAUAUCUUUAAAAUCGGGACAUGCCUCGUAAUCCUCCUUAAGCCUUUCAAAACCGAUGACCUUGAUACUCAUGAUCGACAAAAGGGAGACAAGACGACUUAAUGCAUCAGCUGCUUGGUUUUCCAUGCCCUUCUUGUGUUUUAAAACAAACGAGUAGGCCUGCAAAUAUUCGACCCAACGACCAUGCCUAGAACUUAAUCGUUUCUGAGAGUUGAGGUAACGGAGGGCCUCAUGAUCCGAAUAAAGGACAAAUUCCUGGGGCAACAAAUAGUGGCGCCAAUAGCACAAAGCCUGGACCACCGCAUACAGUUCCUUAUCAUAAGUUGAGUAUCGUUGUUUGGCCUCAUUUAACUUCUCACUGAAGUAGGCAAUAGGGUGACGAUCCUGACUCAAGACUCCGCCUAUACCUACCCCGGAGGCAUCGCAUUCAACUUCAAAGACUUUGGAAAAGUCGGGAAGACGCAUGACAGGAGCCUCCGUCAUUCACUUCUUAACCAACUUAAAGGCUUUAGCCGCUUCUUGUGUCCAAUUAAACUUCCCUUUCUUCAUGUACUCCGUAAUAGGCGCCAUAAUAGUGCUAAACCCCUUAAUUAAGCGACGGUAAAAUGUAGAUAAGCCGUGAAAGCUCCUGACGUCAUGAAUAGUUUUAGGCUCAGGCCAGUCAAUAAUCGCCUGAACCUUAGCAGGGUCAGCAAAAACCCCUGUCGAAGAGACAAUGAACCCCAGAAAAACGACUGUAUCGGUGAAGAAAGAGCACUUCUUGACGUUAGCAUAUAGAUUAGUUGCACGAAGGGUAGAGCAAACUUGCGUGAGGUGGUCAAGGUGUUGCUCCUUAGUCUUACUGUAGAUGAGGAUAUCAUCAAAGUAGACAACAAGAAACUUUCCCAUGAAAAGUUGGAGAGUUUGUGUCAUUACCCGCAUAAAGGUACUUGGCGCAUUACUUAGCCCAAAAGGCAUGACCAGCCAUUCAUAAAGACCAUCUUUCGUUUUAAACGCGGUCUUCCACUCAUCACCUGGGCGAAUUCGAAUCUGAUGGUAUCCACUCUUCAGAUCAAUUUUCGAAAAGAUUGUGGCACCAACCAUCAUAUCUAACAUAUCGUCAAGUCUACGAAUGGGAAAACGAUACUUCACCGUGAUCCUAUUGAUCGCGCGACUAUCCACACACAUCCUCCAAGAACCAUCCUUUUUUGGCGUCAAUAGGGCGGGGACAGCACACGGGUUUAAGCUCUCACAAAUAAAUCCUUUGUGAAGGAGGUCAUCCACUUGCCUUUGAAGUUCAGCGUGCUCGGUAGGAUUCAUCCUAUAAUGAGGCAAACUUGGAAGGGAUGCCCCUGGGACGAAAUCUAUGGCAUGUUGAAUAUCCCGUAGAGGAGGUAGAUGAUCAGGUAGGUCCUCCGGGAAGACAUCUCGAAACUCUGGGAGGGUCGACUGGACUUCAACAGGGUUCUCUAUUGUGGGGUGGGAUGAAACCUCCAUGACCACCAAAGCGAAUACAAUUGAGUCACCAACAAGUGUACGCUCAAACUCCGUAGGACUAAUGAUAUGCAAUCCCUUUUGCUCCACACUCUUCUUCGUUUCCAGUGGGCCAACAGGCUUUGGGGGCAGUGGCUUAAGGUGAAUUUUCUUUCCAUUAAACACGAAGGAGCAGAAAUUGGAUCGACCAUAGAUGGUUACAUCUAGGUCAAAUAACCAAGGUCGUCCCAAAAUGAUGUACCCGACAUCCAUUGAAAUGACAUCAUACCAUAUAUGGUCCUUAUACUUCAGGAACUGGAUAGGGACUAAAUAACGCUCCUUAACAGCUAUAGAAGAGGUAUCGACCCAAGAUACGCUGCAUAGCUGAGGGUAAGAAACUGGCUUCAACCCUAGACGGGAUACAGUAGCCAUCGAAAUCGCAUUAAUGCAGUUGCCACUAUCGACGAUAACUUUACAGCCCUUAUUAUUAAUCUUGAUGUAAGUGUGGAAGAUGGCAUGACGGCGCCAAUCAUCGACAUCCCUAGGCUCGGUAAGAGUGCAACGGACGACACCGACUCUAGGCGUAUGUGGGAUAAGGGGACUAGCCUUAAUACAACCUAAAAAGGUAUCUUCACUAUCCUCCAAGUCAACAAACUCUUCUAACUUAGGCUCAUAAACCUGGUCCUCUAAUGGCUCGUCAACUAUACCUUCACGCUCUUCCAAAACUAGGGCUCGGCUAGGACACUUAGAAGCAAUGUGACCAAAACCCUUACAGUUGAAGCAUUGUAAACGAGAGGACGUUCUUAAAACCUCAAAACCUCUACCUUUGUUAUCCGAUGUAGGGGUAGUAUUAGAAGGACGAGGUCCUAGAAUAGACUUAGGGGAUGGAGUGGAUGCAGAAGAGGUUGCAGUGCGGGAGUCACUACGAUUUCUAUACGGUGUCCUAGGCACUAACUCGUAAUCCCGAACGAAAGAAUAGGCGUGGUCAAGAGUGGUGACGCCUCUAAGGACAAGCUCACGCCUAAGAUCAUCCCGUAGGCCUUGCCUAAACCUACUCAAGGUCAUGACCUCAUCCUCAACGACAUGACAUCUCAUUCGAAACUCGUCAAACUGAGCAACGUAUUCGGUCACAGGUCGACUACCUUAUGUAAGUGCAUUCCAUUGAUCCAGCAAGUUACCCCUAUAAGAUUGAGGUAAAUAUUUUUCUUGAAGGCGACGCUUCAUUUCGUCCCAGUUCCCAAUAGGGGGAGCAUGACGCCUCUCCAGAAGGUCCUCAACACUUUCUCAAAAGAGUUGAGCAGUGCCAGUUAAUUUCAAACUGGCAAAUUGUACCCUCUGAUCUUCUGGGAACCCAUACCAGGCAAAGAAGCGAUCCAUAUCCCUAACCCAUUAAUUGAAUACACUAGGAUCUAGACAACCAUCAAAUGUAGGGGCGUCUAACUUAAUAUUUCGAAAGAGACGUUCCUCGUGGCGAGGGGGAGAUGGUGUACCAUGACGGUGAUAUUCCUGCUCACGCCCACGAGCCUGAUGUCCUUCCCUACGAUCAUGUCUAGCGGGGUGUCGACCGCCUUGUGGACGACGAUGGGAUCUAUUAAUGGAAGUUUCAGAGUUUUUAGCUUCAGUCGAAUAUGGAGUUGGGUCAAGAGUGGGCUCUAUUUUCCUCACGAGUAGCGGCUAACUCAGUUUGGACAGCCGUUAAUUGAUGUUGUAAUUGUGCCAACUGUCGGGUGAGGGCUUCAAUAUGGGAAGGGUCCAUGGCAAGGGUACUAGCACUAGAAGUAGUAACACGACCACUACGCAAUUGCAUACAAGGUAACAUUAGCUAAGUGAAGUGCGCUAUAGAGAUCAACAAACAACUAGUGCGAACAGUAGAUUAGCAAUAUGAUAUUUUAUUAUUAUUAUUUGUUUGUUAAAAAUGGGAUUACGUAAAGUCCGAUUCUUAGCAAGCUAAUAAUACUAAUGCGAAUAAAAUAAAAGGCAAAGGUGCAAGUAUAGGCCUAGUCACGUGGGGUAAGCGGGUGAACAAUGAGAGUUAGUUCGCGAAUUCCAAUCAAGUAGGUUUAAGGCUCAAAUUACCAAAGUAUUAGCAACACAAAGAAUUAAUUGAUGCAAUUCUAAAUAACGCAGUAGUAUCAACUAAAAAAAUGGAAAGGAGCAGUGACUCCCUGAGUUCAGUUGUAGCGCCCAGUAUUCCAAUUGGUUUGAACUGCCAAUGUGUGGUGCUUCAGGUAUGUCUCUGUUCUAUCCCUCACUUCAGGUAUUUUACGCUUCGGUAUGUACUCCUGUUAAAUUGCUGUAGUUCUGGUCUUACUGUGAUUGGAAAACUCCAAUCUAGAGGAACAAAGAUGCUCGCAAGGGAGAGGCAGACAGAAUCAUUCCUACUCUCAGACCAUAACAUUUAUUCUCUGGGAAGCGCUCGACUGGGAAAAUAGAUAGACGCUAGUAACAUUCAGGGAGGAUUCAUACUACCAAUGGUAGCUUGCUAGCACUGUGGUUUAUUGCUGUGAGUUGUGCAGUGAUCGGAGAGAAGACAUAGAGAAUUAAGAGGGCUACUAUUGGGGAUAGAACACGGCUACAAAUAAGAACUGGGUUGGAAGUUCACAAAUGGCGAGUGUCGCCGGUGUGAGAGACGCCGACGGGAGUCGCAACGGGGUGGAAGGUGAUCGACGGGAGUCGCGGCUGAGUGGUCACCAGCGGGGAGGCGAUGUACAAGGAACUUGUGGCUGCUUGUUGGGCCGGAGUGCUGAGAGAUUAGGAAGUGGAGGAAUUAGUGGCCAACAGCCGGUUGACCCGAUCAGUUUUUCAAAGAGGCCUUUGACCAAUAAAAAAAAAAAGAAAGCAAAAUAUUUAAAAUAUUGAAAAUCAAAAGAAAUCCAAAUUUACCCUUACUAUUUAAAAAAGAAAGAGAAGAUAGUAAGGAAAGAAAAAUUACUGUAGCACUGAUAAAAAAAGAAAAAUAGACGACCCAUAUUUAAAGUUUUUAUGUUGAUUUUUGGAAAAAAAAACAUGAUUUUAUAUACAUGUGUUGAUUUUUGAAAAAAUGCAUGAUUUUUGGGUAAGGAUAAUAGUUUUGGAGGAGGAAAAUGGAGUAGAGAUCGCCGAAAAAUGGAGUUUUCCGACGAUCUCCACAAAGGAGACGUAAGCCCCACUGACUGGACCGAUUAGGCAUGCCCAAAUGACCCAGACAGCCCAGUUGACUGGACCGUCUGGGCGCCCAGUUGACUGGGCCGUCUGGGUCAACUGGACCGUCUGGGCCAGUCAACUGUGCCCAAACAACCCAGUCAACUGGGUCGCCUGGGCGCCUAGUGGACUGGGCCGCCUGGGCUCCCAGUUGACUGGGCUGCCAGGCGCCCAGACGGCCCAGUCAUCUGGGCCGACCGCCAGAGGCUCAGAUUUUUUUUUAAAUUGCUUAUUUAUUUAUUUCCUUUAAUUUUUUAAGUUAACUAUUUAUUUUAAUUACUUAUAUUGUGUUGUCUAAUAUUUAAUUAUUAUUUAAAUUGUUUAAUUUUAAUGUAUAUUAUGUAUUUAAAAUUAUUUCUUUGAAAUGCUUAAUAUAAAUGUUUUAUUAUUUAUCUAAAUAUUUAUUAUUUGCCAAUUUAGUUUUAAUUACUUAUUUUAUGUUAAGUAAUAGUAAAAAAAUUAAAAGAUAUAAUUAAAUAUUAAAUAAGUAAUAUACAUAAAGAACUUAAAUAAAUAUUUAAACAUCUGUAAACUAAUAAAUAAGUAAUUAAAUUAGAAAAUUAAAAUAUCAAUCAAAUUAAAUUUCUGCAAAUCAAUUAAAGUAAAUUUGUAAAUAUUAAAUAAGCAAUAUGCAUAAAAUUAAAAAAAGUAUUUAAACAUUAAUUAAAAAUAAAUAAUUAAAUUAAGUGUUAGUAAAAAAAUAAUUAAAAUAAGCAAUUAAAAUAUUAAAUAAAUGAUGAAAAUAAGUGUUAGUAAAAAAAUUAACGAAAUAAUUAAAUAUUAAAUAAGUAAUAUACAUAAGGAAUUUGAAUAAAUAUUUAAACAUUCAUAAAAUAAUAAAAAUAAGCGAUUAAAUUAGAAAAUUAAAAUAUCAAUCAAAUUAAUUAUUUGCAAAGCAUUUAAAUAAAUAUCAAUAAAGAAUUUAAAUAAAUAUUUAAUCAUUUUUUAUUUUUUAAUAUUGAAUUUAAUUGUUUAUAAAUAUUUCAUGAAUUAUGUAAAUUGUUUAUUUUAGUAAAAUAAUUAAUUGUUUUUUAUUUCAUUUUAUUUAAAAUAUAAAUAAUGAAAUAAAUAUAAUAAACAAUUGAAUAUUCAAUAAACAAUUCAAAUAAAUGAGAAAUUAAUAUAAAUAAUUAAAUGAAGUAAAUAAAUAUGAAAUAAACUAUUAAAAUAAGUAAUUAAAUAUUAAACAAACAAUAUACAUAACCAAUUAAAGUAAUUAAUGAGAUAUUUAAAUAAAUAUUAAAUUAAAUAUUUAAUAAGUAAUUUAAUAAAUCAAAUGAUACUUUAAUUGUUUAUGUAUAUUAUUUGUUUAAUAUAUAAUUAUUCAUUUCAUAGUUUAUUUGUUUAUUUAAAUAUUUCACGAAUUAUGUUAAUUAUUUAUGUAUAUUGUUUAUUUAAAUAAAAAAUAAAUAACUAAUUGAAAUAAAUUCAAUAAACAAGUAAUUUAAAUGUUAAUUAAGCAAUAAAAAUAAUUUAUUAACAUAAAUAACAAAUAAAUAUAAAUAAUAAAAACUAGUUUAAAUAUGUAAUUAAAUAUUAAAUAAACAACCAAACAAUUAAAAUAAAUAAUUUAAAUACACAUUUAAAUAUUGAAUAAAUAAUUUAAAUGAACAAUUUAAAUAAAUAGUUAACAAUUAAAUAUUUAAUACACAAUUUAAAUAAGUAAAUAAACUAUUUAAUUUUCAAAUAUUAUGCUCUAUCUAUUUUCUCUUAUACAAGGUCUAAAUAUUUUAUAUUUUACAAGAUGAAUUAUCAUUUGGACGUCGCUAUGAGACAGAUUCCCGAUAAAAUUACGUCGAACUAUAAUUUUAUCAGCUUCGCAUUAGUUCUAGAUUUGGAAGUUGUUGAUGACAUUAACACAUUCAACAACUAUCCAUGGGGACAAAGCUGACAGUUAUCAGCUCUCCUCAACGAUCCUGAGGUACGUAUUAUUCAUUUGUGAUUUAUGUUGUACGUCAUUUUGAAAUUUCGAUGCAUGGUUAUUAACUCGAUGAACAUUUAAAUAAUAAUUAAAUGAUUAUUUGAAUGAUAAAUAAUUAAAUGAUUAUUUAAACGAUAAUAAAUAACUAAUUGAAAUAAAUUCAAUAAACAAGUAACUUAAAUGUUAAUUAAGCAAUAAAAAUAAUUAAUUGACAUAAAUAACAAAGAAAUAUAAAUAUUUUAAAUUUUACAAGAUGGAUUGCCAUUUAAACACUGCCAUGAGACAUAUUGCUAACAAAGUUGCGUCGAACUAUAACUUUGCUUGCUUCGCAUUAGUCCUAUAUUUAUUGGAUGAGGAGCACGCAAACCUGUUACAUCGAUCCUACUUAUGACGAUAAUUCUGACACAGUUGGGAGAUGCAUUCAAGAAAUACGACGAUGCAUGCAUGGUCAUUAACUCGGUGAAUAUUUUUUUAUUUAUGAAAUAAUUGUAUAUAUAUUGUAAAAUUUAUUUAAAUAAAGUAAUGAAAUAUUAGAUACAUACUACACACAACCAAUUAAGAUAAUUUAUAAAUGAAAUAUCUAAAUAAGAAAUUAAAUUAAAUAUUAAUUUUUCAUUUAAUUAAGUGAUUAAAUAAAUAAUUAAACAACGUAAUUAAAUAUUAAAUAAAUAAUAUGCAUAACUAUGCCGAAGAGGACCCCCAACUUGACAGAUAAUAUCGUGAGUUUGAAUGACACCCUGUACGAAACAUAUUAUUGAGGUGCCAGAACAAAUAGUUAGCAAGAGAACUAGAUUGCUGUCACAAUACAUUGUUUCUCUGUACACGAUCGAGGCAAAGAAGAGAACAUUUGUUGACAGUACGUUGCCCAACUCCUUUCGUGAAAUCGACUCGGGUGAUUGUGAAAUCUUCGCAUUGAAGUUAGGACCGUAAAUGGAUCGGAUAUAUGGAUCGGAUCUGCUCAAAUUCGAUCCGAUUCGUUAAUAAUAAUUAUCCUAUCCUAUCCGAUCCGAUUCAAUAAUCCGACGGAUAUUUGAAUGUUAAGUCCAUAUUCGAUUAACUAUGUUAUUGGAUAUCCGAUUCGAAAUUGAAAAAAUUAGAUAAAUUAAGAUUUUAUUUAUUUAUCAGAUUAGAUUGACCUAUAUCCAUAUUUGAUUUAUUUAGUAAACGGAUUAUCGGAUUUGAAUCUCGAUUGGAUCUUCCGAUUGAGACCCUAAAUCUAUCUCCCAUUAAUUUCAUCGGAUUCAGAUCAAAAUCCAAUCUAUUGACAGCCCUAAUUGAAGUACAUUGAAUUUUUAGUAUCGAACGUGGCAUAGAGCUGAUAAACUAAACACACAUUAAUAUACAUAACUAUGCCGGAAAUGACCCCCCAACUUGACAGAUAAUGUCGCGAGUUUGGAUAAUGUGAUAAUUAAGCCGGAGAAGACGAUGAAAGUGACAUUAUGUAAGAAAUAUGUUUAUUGACGUGUCAAAGCAAAUGGUUAGUAAGAGGACUAGAUUGCUAUCACAACACAUUAUUUUUCCGUACACUAUCGAGGCAAAGAAGAGAACAUUCGUUGACAGUACGUUGCCCAACCUCUUCCGUGAAUUCGAACCAGGACGAUUGUGGAAUCUUUGCAUUGAAGUUAGGGUUAUAAAUGGAUCGGAUCUACUCAAAUUCGAUUCGAUCUGUUAAGAAUAAUUAUCCUAUUUGAUCCAAUCCAAUAAUCCAAAGGAUAUUUGAAUGUUAAAUUCUUAUCCGAUUAACUAUAUUAUCAGAAAUUAGAUCCGAAAUUGAAAAAAUUAGAAAAAUAAAAAUUUUAUUUAUUUUUUCAUUGAAAAUCAUAGCCCCAACAAGAUUUUAAUUAAUUAUUUAUUUUAAAAAAUAUUUGAACUAUAUUGAUGGGCUCACUUAUUAUAAUAGAAGGUCUAAAAUAUCGUUUUGGAAUGUUUUAGUGAUAUCGGAUCAGAUCGGAUCGAUCUAUAUCCAUAUUUGAUUUAUUUAGUUAACGAAUUAUCGAAUUUGAAUCUCUAUUGGGUUAUCGGAUUAAAACCCUAAAUCCAUCUCCCAUUAAUUUCGUCGGAUUCGGAUCAAAUUGAAAUAUAUUGAAUUUUUAGCAUCAGACGUGAGUAGAGCUGAUAAACCAAACACACAUUAAAAUGUAAACUUUUUUUUAUUAUUUACAUUGUGAUCCAUAGUUGUAAUAAUUUAAAACGUAAGUUUUUUUUUUUAAAACGUUUAUAAUACUUGAAUUUUUAUGUAAUUGUAUAAUAAAUAACCAAUUACUCUUAAUUACAUAUAUAACACACUAUAAAUAAAGAAAAUUGAGGAAAUCAGUGACAUAUUAUAAAUAGAGAGUUUAUACAAUUUAAGUAGAUAUUACAUAUUCAUCGGGUCAAUUUUCACGUAAUCAAUAAUAUACUAUAAAUAGAGAAAAUUGAGGAAACCAAUAAUAUACUAUAAAUAGAGAGUACAUACGAUUUAAAUAGAUAUUACACAUCCGUUGGGUAGAGAGUAACAUACUAUAAUCGAGAACUUCUCACUUGACUUCAUUUAGUAGAAGAAAUAUNNNNNNNNNNNNNNNNNNNNNNNNNNNNNNNNNNNNNNNNNNNNNNNNNNNNNNNNNNNNNNNNNNNNNNNNNNNNNNNNNNNNNNNNNNNNNNNNNNNNNNNNNNNNNNNNNNNNNNNNNNNNNNNNNNNNNNNNNNNNNNNNNNNNNNNNNNNNNNNNNNNNNNNNNNNNNNNNNNNNNNNNNNNNNNNNNNNNNNNNNNNNNNNNNNNNNNNNNNNNNNNNNNNNNNNNNNNNNNNNNNNNNNNNNNNNNNNNNNNNNNNNNNNNNNNNNNNNNNNNNNNNNNNNNNNNNNNNNNNNNNNNNNNNNNNNNNNNNNNNNNNNNNNNNNNNNNNNNNNNNNNNNNNNNNNNNNNNNNNNNNNNNNNNNNNNNNNNNNNNNNNNNNNNNNNNNNNNNNNNNNNNNNNNNNNNNNNNNNNNNNNNNNNNNNNNNNNNNNNNNNNNNNNNNNNNNNNNNNNNNNNNNNNNNNNNNNNNNNGAAUAGGUUUUAAAAUAAAUAAUUGAAUAAAGUAAUUAAAUAUACAUAACCAAUAAAGAUAAUUAAUAAAGAAAUAUUUAAACGAGAAAUCAAAUUCAAUAUUGGAUAAUUCUACAUAUAUUAAUUUAUCAGAAUGUCCAUAAUGUAUAUGUGAAAUUUUAUGAGUAAAGGAUCGAAAAAACUGUUUUUCAACUCUCCAAUAAUAUUAUGGCACUUGUACAUUAUGGGAUAAUGUUUUUAUUUAACAAUCAAUUAAAAUAAAGUAAUUAAAUAUUAAUGACUAAUAAUAUACAUAACCAAUUAAGAUAAUUAAUUCCUGAAAUAUUUAAAUAAUUAAUUAAUAUUUAAAAAUUAAUUUUUUAUUCAAAUAAGUGAUUAAAAUAAUAAUUAAAUAAGGUAAUGGAAUAUUAAAUACUUAAUAUACACAAUUAAUUAAGAUAAUUUAUAAAUGAAAUAUCUAAAUAAGAAAUUAAAUUAAAUAUAGAUUUUUUAUUUAAUUGAGCGAUUAAAUAAAUAAAUAAACGAAGUAAUUAAAUAUUAAAUAAAGAAAUACAUAAUUAACUAAGAUAAUUAAUUAAUGAAAUAUUUAAAUAAGAAAUUAAAAUAAAUACUAAUUCUUUAUUUAAAUAAGUGAUUAAAUAAAUAAUUAAUUAAAGUAAAGAAAUAUUAAAUAAACAAUGUACAUAACCAAUUAAGAUAAUUAAUUAAUGAAAUAUCUAAAAAAGAAAUUAAAUUAAAUAUUAAUUUUUAUUUNNNNNNNNNNNNNNNNNNNNNNNNNNNNNNNNNNNNNNNNNNNNNNNNNNNAUUUAUUAAAUAUACAUAAUCAAUUAAGAUAAUAAAUUAAUAAAAUAUUUAAAUGAGAAAUCAAAUUAAAUAUUAAUUUUUUAUUUAAGCAAGUGAUUAAAUAAAUAAUUAAAUAAAGAAAUUAAAUAUUAAAUAAAUAAUAUAAAUAAUCGAUUAAGAUAAUUAAUUAAUGAAAUAUUUAAACAAGAAAGUAAAUUUAAUAUUAAUUUUUUUAAUUUGAAUAAUUGUUUAAAAUAAAUAAUUAAAUAUAAAGUGAAAAGUGUUUGAUUUUUUAAUUUGUAAGUUAAGAGUAUUUUUGUCUUUUGAAACAAAAUUCUAUUUUUAUAAUUAUAUAAACUACUUAAGGGUAUUUUUGUCUUUUACUCAAUAAUAGGCUAUUUUGGUGAUAGGCAAAUUCUUUUUGGUUAAAGUGAGAAAUUGGCCCUUUGACUUGGCCAAACUAAAAAUUACCCCUUAGGAAGUGGGGGAUGAUGGAGAUGGUGGUGAGAGACGAACCGAUGACGCCGACAGUGCUGGAGAGUGGUGUCGUCGGCGUCGGUGAACGGUAGACGAGUCGACGUCGUGGAAGAAGACUCGGGUUUGUGGAUAGUGAGAUGUGGGCCGGUUGGAGUUUGUAUAUAAUGGGCUAGGGGUGAUAUGGGUUUGAUCGGGUGUAUGGAUUACGAGUUAGUGGGUUACUUAGGUUUGGGCUGUGUUCAAUAUGGCCUGAGUUUAGACUGAAAAUUAUGUUGGACUGGAAUAUAUGUUGGGCUAGAAUAUAUGGAAUUAAAAAAAAAAAUGGGUUAGGGCUUGAAACAGCAACUUUAAUGCAAAAGGAAGCAGCAAAUCAAUCAAAUUGAAUGGCAGAAUUUUUUUAUUUAUUAUUAUUAUUUUUUUAAUACUACAGGAAGAAGAUCAAAAUUUUGGAAUCCAGGUGUGAACAGUAACACGAUUUUUUUUUCAACUAAGUCUGAAAAUUGAAGAAUAAAAUUGCUGUGUUUACCAAAAUCCUUUUAAUUUGUGCUGUUCCAACAGAUUUAUGGGAAGAAGAUACAAAGAAAUUGUGGGUUGAGGAUGAGAAAUUACCAAGAUUCGACUCUGAUACCAAAUUUGAUGCAGCACCAACAUGACAGUUAAUUGGAAAAUUAGAAUAGAUCUAUGGGAAGGGAAAAUUAGAGAGAAGAAGGGAAGGGGAUUCAACAGAAGGGAAGAAAGAAACAGGAAGAGAGAAAAAUGCCAUAAGCCACCAAAUAAUAUUCAUUCAUCAUCAACUGAAAAUUAUAAUGUAAAAUAGGUUUAAAUAGUUAAGCAACCCUAACGAGCUUGGACCUGAGCUCAUACAAGUCCAAAUCUUAAAUAAUAGUCCAAAAGAUAAAUAAAGCAUAAAUAAAGUUUAAAUAAAAUAAGUAACGUCCGAUGUCCUCAUCAUAUAGUCUAAUGAGUAAGAAGAUUUUAGAUAAUAAUAAAAGAACAUAUUUUAAUAGAAUUCUCGUGUGAAGACAAGCAUAAUUAGGAAACAACAAUAAUAGGAACUUUUACCAAAAUAAUGAACCACAGUUGGCAAAACCGGUUGCCUAUUUAAAAUUAAAAUAGAAAGAUAUAGAUUUAUUUGUCGAGGAUGUGCAUCAACAUAUACAAAGUAAAAAGGAGCAUAUGAAACUAAGUUUGCAAAUUGAAGUAAUCGAAAGACCUAGUAUAUUUUACCUCAAGGCUCGUAGAGCCUUUAGUACGCAAAGGUUCAUUACUCACUCCUGUUCAGUUUUAUCUACUCACAAGAAAUCAUAAAUAAUCACAAUGGCAUCUCUACACGAUUCGAAAAAUUUAAUCACAAGAAAUCAUAAAUAAUUAUUCAGUUUUAUUUGCAACUGUUCAUUAGUCAAUGGUAAUUAGCACCAUGCUGCUUUUUUAAUAACCAGAGCAGAAUGACCACAAGGUAUCCUAAAACGCUUCUCCUAGAAUAUUAGAAUGCAAAGGGAAAAGGUCAGCACAACAUUUUUUUCUUCCAUAAAAGGAAAAUUUAUUGAAAUGGAGAUCCUAAAGUAAAAGAUACAGCUGACAUGUAUAAAUGAAAACAACACACCAUUUUGCAAAACGUGCCCCUUGCAUAGUAUUGAGCAGAUCUAGAAGCCAAUGUAUCUAACGCCUAGCACCAAGAUUCAUUUUUGGACCCUAGUGGUGAAACUAACUGUGUAAAUAAUAAUAAUAAUAAUAAUAAUAAUAAUAAUAAUAAUAAUAAUAAUAAUAAUAAUAAUAAUAAUAAAUAAACUGAGAUAUGAUAUAAAACAUAUUUUGAAAAGAAAUUCAAAUAAUCCAAUACAUCAAUAAAUCAUGCAUGAACACAGUUAACCCCAAACUGAACGCUUUAGUUUGACUUGGUGAUGAACAAAAAAUGGCAGAAGAAAGUAUUCACAAAAAGUUUGCAACGUUAUAAAAUGAUACAAUUGAAUUUGAAAUAUAACUCCUUGACCUAGUGAACAGCAUAUUUGAUGACAAAUCAACAAAGUCAAACCAUAACAUUAAAUUCAAUAAAUGAAAAGGUACAUAAAUAUAUAGGUGCAUGCAUUUAAACAAUAUGUAUUUGCUCCCCUUAAACUCUACUGGCUAUUCCAGCUGUAGGCCAUCAAAUUGAGAUUAUAAUAGUACAUAGGCAAGGUAAAACUUUGAAAGCUGGCCCAAAUUAUUUUGUUUAGAAAUAAGAAGAUAUUAAUUAGAUGACAAUGUAUAAAUAUUACAAGCAAGUGUAAGUUGGAAUGUUGUAGGAUGCACCUCGAAAUGCAAUAACAUGUAUAAGAAAAGUGCAUUAUCCAAAGACUCGGAAUUAUUCCAAAUAUCCCAAUAUUAGAUACAUGAAUAGGAAUAAUAUGAUACGUUAAGCAAAGAAAUGAAAAAGGCCUCGUGAACUGAAUAUCUUAUUCCACAAUAAAACAUUUCCAGAGUCAUGCACCAAGAAAUGAUAAGAAAGAAGAAUGCUAAUAAUAUUAGCAUACUAUAAAGUAAUAAACACACUUCUACACUGUCAAUAGGACAUGUCUGUUGAAACAAACAUCGUUAACAAGACUUUCUAGUAUUUAACUUAAGUGAAUGAAAGAAAUUCUUGAAAUACAAAAAAUACAAGUCUGCAAAAUCAAUCGAUGUGAUGAAAACUCAAAGUUACAGUUGAUAUGAAUAUACAUAUUACAAUAAAAGGUUAUAGGAAAAUAUGGAAAAAUUGUUUAACAAAACAAGAAAACUAUUUGUAGCAAAACAAGUAUACCUAGUCUGAAUGCUAAACAUUUGAUUAAUUUAAAUAAACAUAAGGAAAUCAGAAAAAGAGUGGGGAAUUGAUACAAACCUUUGAUAAAGCCAAUAUUUAGAAGGCCGCUAAAGUAAGAGAAGAAUUGUAUGAAGUUCCACAAAGAAGCCUAAAACCCAUUUGGGGGUCAAUGUCUUAUUUUUCAGAUCUUUCUAACGUAUUUAUGAAUGAAAGAAUUUCUCUGUAGACAAAAUUUUGGUACAUGUUUUGUGUAAAUUUUCUACAUUUGAUAGAUGUGCUUGUUUUUACUCUUGAUAAUGCUACAUAAAGCGACCGUGAUAGAAAACUGGCUCUGGAAGAUACAAACCCACAAAAUCAAGUGUUUGACCCUGCGCUUUGUUUAUCGUCAUUGCAAAGCACGGUCUGAUUGGAAAUUGAGUUCUUUUGAAUUGAAUUGAGUUUCGGUCGUUUUUCAGAGGUAUAAAAGAGAUUCUUGGCAAAAAAACAUAUUUUUCACAAUACUCGCCAGUUGUGAUUUCAGCAAAAAUUACGUUCUUUUGAAACUUUCGACAAGUAAGGCGUGUCCCAUUGCAUAACCCUUCAGAAGGAUUGAUAUUUCGCAAUAACAUGACAUGACAAUUUACCUUAAGUUUCAAUUCAUGCGGUGGAAUACCAUUUGGGGUUAGACUAUUCAAAAAAUCUUAUCACAAGCUUUGUUCUAAUUUAUCAAUUGCUUCAUUAAAACUAUAAUAUGUGAACAUUUCACUUGGAAUCUGUUCUAGCAAAAUUCGGUUAAUAUGAUCAACACCUUCAUUUGUAGGCGUAAGAAUAACUCGAUUUAUCAUUGCAUGGAGCUUAUCAUCAUAUGCUUCUAUAUCUGGAAAAACAUGAUGUAUCAAAUUUUUUAAAGAUGUAAUUUCAUCUUCAAAUGGCAAAACUAUAUUAUUUGGAAGUUAAACGCAUUUACAACUAUGUUCUUUCUCUGUUCCAUCUCCAAUUCUUAGAAAGUAAUCACAAAAUGUGGUAUCCAACUUUGCCCUCAUAUUCUUGAUCAAUGGUAGAUGCAAAUACAAAGGUCAUAAGUUUGAGAAAACUAAGUUAGCUUUCAUUAUGUCGUUUUUUCCCUUUUGGCACCACUGGUAGAAUUUGACGAAAAUCUCCUCCAAAAACUAUUACUUUUCCACCAAAAAGCAAGUUACAAUCGGUAAUAUCUCUAAGCAUCUUAUCUACAGAUUCAACAGCAAAAUGAUUUACCAUCGGCGCUUCAUCCCAAAUGAUCAACCUAGGCAUUUUCAACAAAUUUCCUAAAGUCGAUUGCUUGCUAACAGAACAGCUUAUUUCAGCAACUGUUUCCAAAUGAAUUUUAAAUCUUGAAUAAGCCGUUCGGCCUCCAGGUAAAAGAGAUGCAGAUACUCCAGAUGAUGUAAUUGCCACAGCAAUUAAAUUUUGUGACCUUACACCAGUUAGGAACGCUUUAUAUACAAAUGUUUUUCCUGUCCCACCUAGACCGUCAAUGAAGAAAGCACCACUCGAUUCUGAUUUUACUUUUUCCAUAAUUAUAUCGUAUGCAAACUGUUGUUCUUUAUUUAAUGUUGUAGCACAAGCAAGACGCCCUUCAAUAUCAAAAUUAGUUGUCUCCUCUUCAACCAUUCUUCUCAACCUUUCAGUUUCAUCUAUAUUUACAUUGAAUGGCACCAUGGCAUAAUCAUUUAUGUUCUUACCUAAUGAUUCCAAAAUAGAACUAAUGUCUUCUAAAGCUCGUAGUUCCGCAAUCUCCUUAGGUACAUUUUGAUGUACAUAGUCGUCAAACAUAUAAACCUUAAACUUAUCCCACAAGAACUUUGGAUGCUUAGGAUUGCAAAGCGUAAGAAGUGAUGUAAAGAGACGUCUUAAAGAAGCAGACAUUUUGUAAACAAUAGCUUAAUAAACCAUGUAAAAGUGCUGCUUCUCGAUAUAUAGCAACAGUUAUCCCAUUCAACGUUCGUAAAUCACGAAAUGAUACUGGUCCUCUAAUAUGAUUAAGGAGAAUGCGAAGGAAAUAUCGUUCUCCUUCAGAAGGAUUAGCUGUUAAAAUUCGUCCUAUAAUAAUUUGUUUCUUUCUGGGAGUCCAAAUUUUGUUAUUUGCAUUCCAAACAAAAUAUUUUGGGAAAUCUCGAUACAACAAUGUACGAGCAAACUCAUUUUCUUCAUUCAUUCGAAAGAAUUCAGUUAACAUAGUUCUUCUCGUAUUUUCUUUUUUAACAAUAGUAGAUAAGUCAUCAUGAUCAGUGUAUGUUAUUUGUUGAUGAUCCUGAAUAUGAAGCUGUAAAGAAUAAACAUAUGGAUAAAUAUCUGACAAAUUGAAAGAAAAAAUUCUCCACGUAGCCUCAAGCGGAGAUAUCCAUCUAGCAGAUUGAUAAGCAGAAAUUUUAUCGAUUUCCUCAUUUGUUUCAUUCAUGUCAACGGAGAAAUUAAUACGAUCAUGUCCUUUGUAUACAUUUAUACAAAUAUUUUACAGCUUUGAUAGAAGAACAUACUUCAACAUUGAUAUGACAAUCAAAUUUUGCACUUAAAUAAGGAUUUAUGGUAUGACCUAUAAAUUGUCUCACAUUUGACCCCUACCUAUAACAAAAAUACCAUUAUUACGUCGCAUAUACAAUGGAUAUGAGUUAUCACCAAAUAUAGUAGUAUUACUAUGAUCCUCGAGUAUUUAUUUUUACAACCUUUAUUUGUCUCCAUACAUACAUUUUUAGGAUUCAAAUUUCCACAAGGGUCAUGCAUAUUAUGUUUAACAAUAACUGAAUAAAGAUGGGGGUGUUUUUGUUUGUUAGAAAUUUCACAAGACACUAUCUUAUCAACCUCUUCAGCACAACAAAUUUUGUAGCCGCAUUUAAAAAUCAACAAUAGAUGUGCAUGAGAAAGCCCUCUUUUUUGAAAUUCAAUAAUAUAUAUAUGAGCAACAACGAGGCCAAAUAUAUUUUCCUUAUAUAAAUCAUUUUUCAAUUCUUCUAAUUUUGCUCUAAAUAUAUGCGCGAUUAGAUCUGGUCGAUUCUGAACCUCAUCAUUGUGUCUUAGUUCUCCCUUGAUUUCUGGCCAAUUUGGAUUACAUGUUACAGUUAAAAAUACAUAUGAUUUUUCAUAACAUUGUACAAUAGUCAUUGCAUCCAUAUAUCUCUUUAGUAGAUCUCUAGGACCACAUGCAAAAGAUUGUGGUAAAACAAAAUUCCUUCCAAUUUUGUACCCCUUUGUCUCUCCAUUUUGAACAUUAUCUACAAUGCCUUGAUAAAGUUCAGCACGAUUUUUUUUGUUAUUACGAAAAUAAUAUAAUCUAGCAGUUUCAAUCUUAACAUAUAUAUCUACAACAUAUUGUUGAAAUAGUCUACCAGUGUGAAGUAACACAAACGUACCAGAAAGUCUGAUUUGUAAUUUGUAUGAAUAGUAUUCUUGGCAAGAAACCUGAGACCAUUUUUUCGUUCUAUUGAGCACUGCAUGAUGUAACAAAGAAACAAUUUCAAUAUUCAUUUGCAACAUUCACAUUAUAGAAGGUAUAAAAUUUACUAAAAUGUGCAUUCACUAACCUGUAUCCUCUUUUUCAAGAAUUUCAGCUGCAAAAUUAAUUGUGCUGGAAAAAGCAACAGAGCUAGGCAAAUGUUGAGGCUGAAAGUAUGUGCUUCUACAUCUCUCAAUAGCCGACCAGAUUCACCAUAUGGAAAAAUCAAAGAAUAUUGCAAAGGAUCAUAACAACCAUAGUAUUAGUGAACCCAGUGUGAAACACCAGAAUGACAAUAUAUAGUAAUAUCACGAGUGUGAACAUUUGCAUUUUCAUCAUCUUCGAUCCAUACAACAGCUACUUGAGAUGCUGUAGGAGUAUUAAAAACUCUUUGAUCAACUCCUGGAUCACAUCUUAUAUGUAUUCGAUGGUCAUGUAAAUUAGUCAUAUCACUUAAAGGCCUAAAGAAUCUACUAUAUGGAUUUACUUUAAGGAUUUCAAUUAAAGUAAUUAAAGUAAAUUCAAUGAAGGUCUCUGAAAUUUUCAUACAAUUUUGAAGCUCAUUAUCUGUAUCGUAAAAAUAUAAUUACAUAUAAGAAGGCGUAUUAUUUUCAGGCAUAAGUUAAUUUAUAUAAUGAUAUACUUGUCCCUAAAUCCUAAAUGUGUAAAUAUCUCUAUAUGUUUUCAAAAGUUUUUUGUCGUGCUUUACACCAAACGAUGUGAACGCAAAAUGGUUAUUAUAUCCUUUUGCAUUUUUUUUUAAUUCCAUAUAUAUUGGAUCUUUAGAAGUAAACAAGCCGUACGACUCAAUUGGUAGUUCUGGCAUAAAGAGCUUAACUUUUCCAUCAGAACAACAAAAACCUUUACUUUCUCUAUAAAAUUUUCGUGCACCACAAUGCUUACAGUCAAUGCAUGUUGGUAAUAUAUAUGCAGUACUUGGUAUAAUCAAUAUCUUAGAACUUUCUUCUACUUCAGAAUUAGAAAUAUAAGUUGUUUCUUGGUUUGAAGUAGAAGCUUCAAAACGAUCAUUUAUAGUAGAUUCUUGCAUUUAGACAACACUCGAAUUAUUAUCUCCACAUAACAUACGGUCAGUUAUCCUCCUGCGAUGAUCAAUGCACCCGAUUUUAACUCGAUUUCGCCCCUUUCUCUUUGAUUAUGUUGUUGGCGAAUGAAGGCACGGUAUGACUCAUUUGUACUCUCAGAAAUAAUUUGAGGGUUAAUUAUAUCAGGCUCUCCAUCAGCACAUGUUUCGAAAAUAUCCAUCAGAACACUAAGACAACUUGUUGAACAAUUAGAAUCCAACUUUAGCAACAGGAACUAAAAAUACUGAAAAAAAAAUACCACGUGUUAAAUUAUAUAUAAGCUAAAACUGAACUUUACAAAAUAAAAAAUGAUCUAAACCAUGACUAAAAAUUUACUUUACAGGGCUCCUAAAUGUUUAUUAUAAAUGUGAAAUGUCAUUUUGGCUAUCUUCAUAAUACUAUAAAUAGGAUCAGAAAUUACGCUCAUUGCAUGAGGAGGACUAUUUUUACUGACUAAAAAUAAAACAUUCGAUGAAAAAAAAGAAGAAGAAAAAAAGGCUAAUCAAUAUAAUCUAUGAAGAAAUAAGACUGAAUUUUUUCAACGGCAAAAUAAAUCAUAAAAUGCAAAGAAAACCUAAGAAUGUUAUAAUUGACCUCUUAUAUUGGACUCUCAUAAAUUGCACAGAAUCUUGGGAAAAUUUAUUAGCGUCUGCAAGCCUAUUUUUCAUCUUACGAAGAAACCAACUAAAGGGAGGAUUCAUACAGUGCACAAACAAAGCAUAACAACUAAUAACCUUGUUAGAAAUUUAAAAACACAACUUACUAUAACAAGUGAUCAAAAUAAACCUACUAUUCAAACCUAUGAAGAAUCAAUUAGAAGAAAAAAAUUAUUUAGAAAAAGUUACCUAAGAAAGACCGUAUUACCACGGUUCAAAAAAAUACAAUUGUCUGGAAGAAAAAAAAAAAAAAAAUUUAAAAAGUUACACGACAAAGACUAUACUGCUACAGUCGUAAAUUUCACCAACCAUCAGUUGCCAUAGAAUCCCUUUUUUCCACCUAUCUCUGUCGCUUGCGAGCACCCGAAAUUUCUGAAGAUUAACGUGGUCAUGUUGAAUUUAACGAUUACAUAUUUAUUUAUGUUUAAUUUGAUAUCUCUAUUUCCUUUUAUUAGUUUGAUUUUGGUGGUUCAUGUGGCCCGUUCUCUGCAAUUUGUUUUUGUCGUCCCUAAUCUACCUCUCAUUGGUUCUUGUUCAUUUUCUGCCAAUUUCAUCCUGCGAAGUCUACUGGCUCGGUGAAAAGAUAAGAUUUUCUGGUUUUAGACCACAAAUCAUAUAAAUCUAACUUCCUCUGAUAAUUUUCAGCUAGAUCUUCCGUGGAAAUUGUUCGUUGUUGAUGUCCUAAGUUCUAGUCUACCAAGGUUUCUGCUUUUAGAACACAUCUGAAGACUUAUGGCUUCACCUAUGGAUCAUGAGCCAACGUUCAUUUUAAGAGACAAGUUAAUCUUUUUGCAAGUGAGUAUUGGUACUAAUUUUACGGGGCAUCUAAUUCUUCUUUUACGUUUUUUUUCCCAUGUGGCAUCAUAAAGUAAUUUCUCAAAUUAAUUGAGUUCCUUUUCCAAUUACGCCAUAAAUAAUUCAAUGGUGUUAUGUACGUAAAUUAACUGUGUGUGUGUGUGUUUUGUGCUUGCUUAUGAGACUAUUUGUAAUGCUUUUCAACAUCCCACGAUGCUUCCACUAUAUAUUCAAACUCUUUUCCAUUAUCCUUAUCUCUCAGUCUCUCAACACUUCUAAUCUUCAAUUAUAUCUUCCAUUAGUAUUGUCUCUGUAAGUGUUAUGCCCUAAAUUCGGAUUAUAUAUUUAAUGCAUUUGAUUUUGGCGAGAUCUAUUAUUUAUUUAAAUUAAUUUUGUAAUAAAUAAUAUUAAAUAAUAGAAUCCGAAGACCCAAUUUUUAGGUAAUCUAUUAAUCACAAGGAAUUGUAAUUGUGAGAUACAAAUUACAUAUAAUUGGAUCUUGAAUAAACCAUGGUCGUAAGUAAUAACGAGAUACGGAUAUCGUUAAUACAAUUAGACCAUCACGUGUGGCAUUUCUUACUUAUGAAGUAAGUAGCUGAUCUCACGAGCUAAAGUGUGGUGACACUUAAAUGAACAUGUGGAUGUUUUGUUGUAGAACAAAACAUUGGAGACCCGCUAAAAGAUUCCACAUGGAUAACUAUCUGAGUGUCAGUGGCUAAUCUCUAACGUUCGGUAGUGGAAUUGAUCCUUUGACUUGAGGUCGUCAUAGUACCCUAUAUGAGGACAGUCAUACUUUGGCGGUGUUGGAUGUUGCUCUGAAAGGGGCCGCUAAUACGACAUCGUUCGGGUACGUCAAGAAUCGCAUGAAGGUUGUGAUUGAUCAAUAAAGGAUUCGUCACUCUUAGAUAGUAGGAGAUUAUGAUCUGCGUUUCAUUCAAUUAAGUCGAUGAUGAAAUCCUUGGCCAAGGUGUACUCAUAAGUCGAAAAGGGGUUUUCGAUUUAUAUUGACUUAAUAGUGGAAUGAAAGAUAUGAUCGAUGAUCGAGAUUGACACAAUUCCAUAUCUCGUAAUUGAUCGGAUCGUAUUGACGAAGGGAUAAUAGUUCCACGGUAAACGAACGAAUUUGGUUUUGUCAUACCACGUGACAUUUUCCGUCACAUGUAUUGCCCUGACACAUUGCUAGAUGUCAAUCAGGGACGGCGAAUGUGAAUUGACGAUAAAUUAAAAGGGUAUAUUAAUUUAUCAAUUUUGAUUAGAUCAAAAUAAUAUUUCGCGACGUUAGGCAUCGUGGUCGGGAACCUAAUGGGUCGCACACAAAAGAGAAUUGGAAGACUGCAAAUUGUCAAUUGAUUAAUUUAACAAUCGUUGGAUAAAUUAAUUAAUUUAAUUUGUUAUUUAUAAUCCCGAAUUAAUUAAUUCACGGACCGGGUUUGAUUAAUUGGAUUAAUUAAAUAUUGGACCGGACCGGGUCCGUUUGGGUUUAUAUAUAUAUGCAGCUAGGGUUUGAGGUCCAUAAGUUAUUCAUUAUUCUUGCUAGCACAAGAAAGAAACCCUAGCAGUUGCUGUCUUCUCUCUGUGUGGAUUUCAUUGGAGGCUGGACAAUUGGACAGCUGUGGGAGGCAGAUUCAAGCUGCUGGAAAGGAAUAACGCGAAAGAGUUUGCAAAUCACAAGUAAAGGUAUAUUUCUCAUCAUAGUUUUUAUCUAAAUACAAAGCUGAAUCCUGAAUGUGAAUUGAAACUUGUUAAAUUCCGCUGUGUCUGUUUAAGUAAAUUCCCAACAGUCUCCACUUCAUCCUCAGGAGGAUUUACUUCUCUUUUUCAUCAAACCAUCUUUCCUAAUUCAAGAAAAAACACUUGCAAAUCAUAACCCAUCUCAAUCCAACAAUUUCGUUUGCAUUCCUUUUAUCGACAAAGUAUAAAAAUCGAAAUCAACUUUCGACCCACCCCAUCUGUGCCCAUCUAUUAAAACCCAAAUCAGUUAAAAAAUAAAUAAAAUCGAACACUUGAUUUGUCAGUGUCAUACAUGGAGAAACCCACAAAAUUAAAUUGAUGAGAACUCAUGCUCAUACAUAAACCAUUCUAGUCAAUCGACGAUCAAAAAUCAGUUUCAAGAGUGGAAAAACUUGGAGGACACUAAAGUUUUGAGCUGGGCUAAGAGACACGAUACCUGGUGGUGGUAGGCGACGAAGGUGCGACAGAAAGAUGGCUGCCAAAUUUUGCAAUGAAAUUAUGAAACGGAAGUGUUGGAGAGAGGAAAUGUAUAAGGGAGGAAAUACAUGCAAAUCACCUUUUGUACUGAAGCAAAUUUUAAGAUUGAACUUUGACCCAUUAAAUAAAAAAAAAAGGUUAAAAUAUAAGUUUACACUAAAAAGGCGAUUUUACCCUUCACUAUACACCAACUGUUAGAAAAAAUCCAAAUCGACCGACCGACUGACUGAACUUCGAAAAAAUCGACGCCAACUGCCUGAAGAACGACCGAUCAACCACCGGCUGAAAUACCAAUGAAUCCGUACCUGCACGCUACUAUUCCGGUUAGUUUUGGCGCUCGAAGUUUAUUAUUACAAGUUUCAGUUUUUAGAUUCAUUAUUUUUACGUUUAUUCAAUUUAAAUUCAUCAUCAUGUAAAGUUGUUAGAUUGUAAGUGUGAAUGGUGUGAAAAAUGUGAAUUUUUUGUAAUUUUUGGACCUCUCCAUCAUCGACAAUUGCGAUAUCGCAUGCGGGAAGACGACGACUGUUAACAAUCGGUCCAGACUGUUAACAGUCGUGGGUGUCGAUCCAAUCCAAUUUAACAGUCAUGGACCGACUGCUAAACAGUCAUGGUCCGACUGUUAACAUCGUUCUAGUGACUGUUUAAUUAUUAUUUUUUUUUCAAUUUUUAUAAUUAAUUUUUUUUAUUUGAUUAAAUAAUUAUGCUAUUUAUUUAUUUAUUUAAUUUUUAUAAUUGUCUUUUAUUUUAUUUAUAUAAUUUAAUUAUUUAAUUUUUAUAAUUGUCUUUUAUUUAUAUAAUUUAAUAAUUGAAUAUUAUCUAAAAUUAACAAUUUAUUUUGUUCCUUUUAUUUUUGUUUUUAUGAAAUAAUCUUUAAAUUUUUUUUUCAAAUUUAUUUAGAUAAUAUAUAUAUAUUUUAAUUUUUUUAAAAAUGUAUUUAAUUUCAAAUUUUUUGUUCGUAAAUAUAUUUUCCAAAUUAUUACAAGAUUAAUUUGAUUAAAUAAUAAUUAUGUUAAUUUUUUUUAUAAUUCCCUUUUUUUAUAUAAUUUAAUAAUUGAAUAGAUAAUGUUGUCCGAAAUUAACAAUUUAUUUUGUUCCUUUUAUUUUUCUUUUAUGAAAUAAUCUUUGAUUUUGUUCUAAUUUAUUUAAAUAAUAUUGAUAUUCUUUAUUUUUUUUAAAAUGUAUUUAAUUUGAAUUUUUUUUGUAAAUAUAUUUUUCAAAUGUAAUAUACAAGAUAAACUAAAUUAUUAUAAUUUUUAAAUUUGCAUUGAAUUUAUUUUGUUAUUAGCGUCAAUGUCUUACGUAUUGUAUAGUAGUUAUAAUUCGGCUACCUUGAUUUUUUGAGAUUAUGCGUUACUUUAUUAUCUAUUGUUCAAUGUUCUAACAUUUGAAUUUUUGUAGGAUGGAGUAUCAUUUAGAUGGGGAGUUGAGACGGAUGGCGGGGAAAGCUACUUGGAACAGUAGCUUUGAGAGUUUUACUGCGGUGUUGGAGCUGCUUGAUGAUCAUCACGGAGAUAUGCUGCGACAGUCAUUCUUGUGGCCACUAUACCAGAUGCGAGAGGUGCAGUAUUCAGGACAGAUCAUUGAUGCACUUCUAUGUCGGCUUUUGAGGCCAGUCGAUGACGAUUCCCUCCACUUCGACCUCGGGGGCAAGGUCGUCAGUUUCUCGAUUUAUUAGUUUAGCUUGAUCACUGGACUGAGGAUUACGGGCGACGAUGCAGCCAUUGAGAGAAGCAGUAGGCUGUACGAGACGUACUUUCAGGGACAUGGGUCAGUGCAUCUACCCGAGUUGAUGGUCGUGAUUAGGGGGUGCGACCAGAUGCUAGAUAGAUUGAAGCUUGGGCUGGUCUACAUCUUCGAGAAUGUGAUGAGGUGUCAUCACAAGAAGACUGCCAUCGACAUUUUUCAUUUGGAAGUUGUUGAUGACAUUGAUGUGUUCAACAACAAUCCAUGGGGCCAGAGAUGUUACGAAGACACCGUACAUGUCUUCACCAGAUUACACUCGAGGUUCAGGGGGUCAAUGCGUAAAUACGAUACAUAUGGGUUGCCCUUAGCAGUGCAGGUAAAUGUUUAAUAUAAUUAAAGUUAAAAUUUUAGUAUAUUACAUUUAUGCAUAAUAAGUGUAUGUGUUGCUGAUUUGGGUGUAUGAGACAGUCCCUGCACUGGGAGCUCGCUUUGCGAAGCAAGGGGAGACACGAUGCCCUCGGAUGCAUCAUUGGAGAUCGUCGCAAGCGGAGGGAUGUCCCACUGGGAAACAGUUAUCUGCCCUCCUCGACGAUUCUCAGGUAAGUAUUAUGCAUUUGUGAUUUAUAUUAUACUUAGUUUAAAUCUGUUUACAUGAUCGUUAACUAAUUCAAAUGUCAAUAUAUCAGCUUGAAGUCAUACCUGAGUUGACGCCGUCGAUGGAGGAGGAGGCUCGGGGUCUUGUGCUGGAUGUAGGUGUUCCGCACACUGAAGACGAGCAGAUGUCUGAUCCUAGUGUGGACCGAGAUUGGGUAUGUGAUUAAAUAUAAUUUAUUGAAUAUCGUCGAUGUAUAAAUUUAUUUAUUAAUUUUUAUUGUUAUUUAUGUAGGAGGGCGGUCCAGCUGAUCGACGAUCACCUCCGCCAAAGGUAUCGCCGCCACCAUUGGCAUCACCUCUAUCGAGGGCAUCGCCGUCACCAUUGACAUCGCCUCCGCCGAGGGCAUCGCCGCCACCAUUGGCAUCGUCAUCGUCGAGGGUAUCUCCUUCUCCCUCGUCCAGACACGUCCCCCGUGUAUCGUCGACACACACUGAUGAUUUAUUUGCCCGUCUGAUUGGAUUUAUAGCGGAGGAGGUCGGCGCACUAUGACGAGAGUUGACAGAGAGGGUCAAUGAUCUGGGACGAGAGUUGACCGGGAGGGUCGACGAUCUGACAGAGAGGGUCAACGAUAUGGGACAAGAGUUGACAGGGAGGGUUGACGAUCUAUCCCAUGAUGUUGGAAUGCUACGAUCUUACGUUGUCGACCUUCAGGAUGCGGUAGCGACACUUAGAGGAGAUUUAGCCGCUAGGCGAUAGGGGGACAGAGGGGAUGGUGGAGAUGAUCGAGAGGGUGGUAGAGAUGGUGAUGGAGAGGGGAGUCACCCACAUUUUUGGCAUGACGAGACAUUAGAGUCAUUCUGGUUGUCUAUGGAUGGGGAUAGAGUGGCCCCGAUAGGGGGCGACGAGGGGGGAGGCACCGAUGGGAGACACGAAGGAGGUGGCGACAAAGGGAGAGGCCCUGAUGGGAAGGGCGGAGGAAGUGGUGACGGAGGAGAUGGCCCUGAUGGGAGGAGCAAAUGAGGUGGCGACGGAGGAGGGGGCCGCGGAGGGCGAGAGGACGCCCAUCGUGAUUGAAGGUGAGAGACAUGCUGUUGAUGAGACGGAGCAGGUGGUCGGCAAGAGGUUGAGAGUGUCGUCACAGUAUGUUGUUUUCCCCUUCACGGCUGAGGCCAAAAGGAGGAUGUUCAUCGAUGGGACGUGCCCGAACCUAUUCAGAGAAGUGGACAAUGCCAAGUGGAAAGCAUUCGAGACGGAGUGGAAGAGAAUUAUCCCCGGGUAAGUAUUGUAUAAUUUUAAUAAAGCACUAUACGCUAACUCGUCUAUGCUUAUUUUAACAUUUCCCUGUUUUUUCAGAACUACCCACACGAUAGGUAACCGAACGGUCUCGGAUGCUUACAAGUGGUUCCACGAUAUCACGACUUCGGGAGCUUGGCUCGCCGACGAUGUAAGUGAACUAUUCAUUUCGUGUUUUGUAUGUAUACGUCACUUUAUGUUUAUUAAAUGAAUAACAAAUAAUUUUUUGGUGUUUCUUGAUGCAACACAUCGACCUAGCCAUGGACUUGCUGCGAGAUCUAGCUCAGAGACAUCCAAAAUCAUUUGACGUCCAUGGUCAAGUCAUAUUAAAUACCGAGUUCCUGUGUGCCGUUACCAUAGAGUAUCAGUCCCUCCAACUUAUGGGUAACGAGUACACGGUGCCAGAAUAUAUGCUCCAGUGGGUCAUAGGAUUGUCGCCGAGUGUCGGGGAAAAAUCAUAGGAGGGUUGUACACAUAUGUACAUUCUGCGUGCAUCAAUAGGCACUAUGUUAUGCUGGAGAUCAUUUUUGCUGACACGACUAUUUAUGUGUACGACCCAGAUCAUUCAUGUUUGACGCAAGGCCAAUUGGAGCAAAACUUGGAGUUCGCAGCUGUAAUUGUUCCUAUGAUGGCCAGACAAGCGGGGAUGACUGUACAGGACAGAUUGCAGAUUGUUCGGAACACGACGACAUCGCUACAGUCCGUAAGGUAAGUGUUUGAACUUUAUUGUUUUCAUCUUUCAGAUUUAAUUUUUUAGAUACACAGUACUGAACUGAUCCAUUCUUGUUCAAUUAUAGCGACAACUGCGGCAUAUUUUCCAUUAAAUACGUUAAAUUUUUAAGUAUAGGACAUAAGGUUGAUGGAAUCAACCAAUCGUGGAUACAGAACUGGAGAAAGAAGUUAGCAUGUGAUUUGUUCGAAUUUAAUGGUGACCCGUAAAUUUGUAUUAAAUAUAUGUAACAUUCGAAUUGUAAAUUUAAUUAUUUUUUGUGAUUAUGAAAUAAUUGUAAAUUUGUGUUAGGUGUAUAUAACAUUCACAUUGUAAAUGUAAUUAUUCUUUUUAUUAUGAAAUAAUUGUAAAUUUGUGUUCAAUGUAUAUAAUUAUUUUUCUGUAAGUUGAUUUUUUGUUAUUUUACACAUAUGCUGAGAAUGGAACUAAUUUUUUCAUAUGAAUCAUUGUAAAUACCGUUUAUCAAGAAUAAAUAUAGAACAUUGAACAUUUAUGAAGAACAAAUAUUGAACGUACCUGUCUAAUUGUCAUUUAGGGGAAUUUGACUGAUACAAAAUUGUUAAGUAUGCCCUAUGGCUCUACAUCUGCCACACCUACGCGGUCGAGAAAACUUUUCGGUAGAUGGUAUUCUAGAUGUACUUGGACAUGCAGGACUACACGGUUCAACUGCUGGUGGCAACAAAUCAUUAAACGGGAGAAUGUGCUCUAGAACUUCCCACUCUGUUUCAUUCGGCAGAAGAAAUAUAGUCUCCGCAUAUGCUGUCCUCCAAGACCAGUCGUAUAAUACAAAGAGCAUAACGUUCUCGCUGCAAAGCUUCAAUACAUGGCCACCGCAACUGAUGCUCACACGGAAAACUCUCCAACUGAAAUCUCGUACAAGUGCAUGUGUUAUCAGUCAAGUCCACCAUAUAUGCCGUAUUACGUGCACAUUGCACGGAGAAGCGAAACUCAUCUAGUGCUUUUACAUUCAACUUCAUCGCAACCUCUGUCGCCUUAAAGAGUUUUUCCUCUUGAGCUGGGGCCAGCACGCUACUGUAACUUUGUGAUGCCGCACGUCGGUCAUGAAACUACUGUUGCAGCUUGUUACGAAUGUUUUCAAUCAUUGCGAUAAUUGGUAACUCUCAAUCCUUCUUCAACAAUGCAUUGAGAGACUCCGCGUUAUUCGACGUCAUCAUGUUGUAUCGACGUCCUGUAAAGUAUGACCGCCCAAUGUUCAAUCCCCAUGUUCGUCAGAUACUCCAACGUUGGUAAUGAUUUACUUCUUAUCUCAAACAUGAACUUAUUACACUCUUCAACACUGUAAGCUUCGGCUGCUCUCCUGAACAAUGAAACGAUGCCUUUGUCCCGAUACCUAGUUUUCAAAUUAUCUUGUAUAUGGUACGUGCAAUACUCGUGAUGUGCUUCUGGAAAAACUUCAGCGAUACCGUUUAUUAUAGACUGUCCCUGAUCGGUUACAAAGGCAAGGUCUUCGACUUCCCCGAUUACUUCCCUCAGUUUCGAAAAGAACCAACGCAUGGACAGAUCAUUCUCGCUGUCGACUAUGCCAAAUGCAAUAGGGUAAAUUUGGAUGUUGGCGUCUUGACAUGUAGUAAUAAUUAAUUUGCCUUGAUAUUUAGCUUUAAGAGUUGUACCAUCAACUAGAAUUACGGGUCGCAUUACAUUUUGAAAAUCCCAAAUACAUUGUCCGAGAGCCAUGAAGAAAUACUUAAAACAAUUAUCGCUCCCCGUCUCAAUAAAAAAUGUCGUGCCAGGAUUAGUUCUCCCCAUGUUAUAGCAAUAUCUGGCCAAUUUAGCAUAGCUCUCAUCAACCGAUCCCAUUAAAUCCUCCAAUGCACAUUCUUUGGCCUUCCAGGCUUUUUGGUAGCUCAUGAUCAAUCCAUAAUCUUGAUGGACAUCGUUAAUGAUGUCCGAAGGUCUGUAGAUCAUCCGUGGGUCCUGAUACUUGUGCAUUAUCUGUCGACCAAAAAACCAUGCUCGAAUUUGCCUGUGAUUGUUUCGAAGAAUUCCCACUUCGCAAGUAUAUUCCCGUGAAUACUUGCGAAUUACGAAGCACUCAUUCGUGUCCAUCUUAGUUGCUCUCAAGCACCAAUUGCAACUGCCUUCCACACAGGCAACUGUCAACAAUGACUUGUUUGAUUUCUUUACCUUGAACUCAAAGUUAUAUUUAAUUGUCAGCCAGUGCACAGCUUCCUGCAAAUCUUUCUUGGUUUCAAAUAGUUGCUUGACAUACAAGUCCUCAUAAUCGGGAGCCACACGGGAAGAAUUGGAGGACGGUCCACUUGUUCCAACCUGUGAGCUCCCACCCUACUCAUGUCUCUGUCGGGAUAAAACAAUCAAAUUCUCAUUUGUAAACUCGUUUAUAUUCUCAUUGUUUUCAACCGUCGACGAAAUUCUGCGCGUAACUGUGACAUCACGAUCAAAAGCAACUGUCUCAAGAAUAACCACAUCAUCCGUAGGAACUAUCUCCACUAUCUCCCAAAAACCUCGAUCAUUGUUAUCCGUCCUAUCUGAAUCUUCGCGUUCACCUUCGAUAACAUCCUUCGUAAUUAAAGUCACACCAAAAACAAUCGAAGUCCGAUACAUUUUAUUCAAUUCUAAUGGAUAAUUCAAUUCAGCAUCAUUAGUAACGAAUACCGGUGGCAUCGGAAUGGAUGAAUCCCCAUAACUGUUGAAUAGAUAUCUCAAUUGCAUAUCUUAUUGAGAUCGAUCGACAUUCAGCUUAUUUUGCAAAUCGUGAUACAUUUCUAAGUAUGGUGUACUCUCUGUUAUGGGAAUUGCAAUACAACCACGUAUGUCACUCGUCCAUCUCCAUUCCCACCGAUUAUUUUCAUUCAAUUCGAAAUCACCGAAAUAACAGAUGGGGAUUAUCAUAUCUGCAUGAGGAAAUAGAUUUAAUCAACUUCAUUUAUUAAUUAUAAGAAAAAAUAAUGCAUUGUCAACAAAAAUCAGUGCCAACAGUCGACUGUUGGCUGUUAAAUAGCCGACUGUCGACUGUUUGGCUGUUUAACAGCCCACAGUCAAGUGACUGUUUGGCUGUUAACAGUCGACUGCUUUUCUGUUUUCUGCAUUACGUAGAAGAAAAAAAUUAUAGAUCUGUUCAAAAAAAAAAUUUCAUAUGUUCGAUCAAAAAUUAAUACUAACUAUUACUAUGUCGAAAUAAAUUUUCUCUAUUCAAACGUAUACUAAUUUACUAAAAAAAGAAAUUAAACAUGCGUAAAAAUACUUACCGAUUUGAAGAAUUGAUAUUAAAAAAAUUUCGGCUUCAGCGUUUGAAUGUUUUUUGAGAUGUUAAGGUUCAAGCAGAUGAAAGAUGAGAGUUUUUUCUGUCUUGGAAGCUCGUUUUGAAGUUUUAUAAGUGGGGAAGUGUUUGAUUUUCAAUUAUUAACUAAAAGGGUAGUAAAGUCUUUUCAACAAUACAGUGUUUUGUAAUUGUAUAAUACAUUUAAGGGCAUCCUUGUCUUUUAACAUUCAAGAGGCCAAUGUGAUAAUAUUCAUAAUUUUCAAAGUCAAAGUGGAAUUUCCUAUACCCCUAUUUAAGGUCAAUAUGCAUUCUGGGUCCUUUUGUUUUAUUUAUAUAUUAGGAGAUAUUUCUGGUUGCUUUUGUUUUAUUUAUAUAUUAUAAGAGAUAUUUAUGAAAUAACCAGUCCUUGAACAGUAGAAUCCAGUUACAGUGUGAAAUGGAGCACCAUAGAAAUGAAUAGUGCAAGCUGAUUCAUUCUUUUAUAUAAUGCAAUGAUUUGUCGCUCAAUACUUGCUGGCGGAUCAGGAGCAGGUUGUUGUGUAGUUGUUCUCCUGAUGGAUAACAUCAAACCUCCCAGGAGUGGAAAGGUAUGCCCGUGCGUUUGUUUCAACAUCUGUACAUAUGUUGAUGUAGCAUUACAUAAACACAGCAGCAGCCACACAGGGAGAAGUAGAAACCAGAAAAAGAAAGAUGAAGAAGGAGAGAAGAAGAAGAAGAGGGCGGUGAAAAAGGCGAAAAUGUUUGCAACACUGAAUUUUCAUUCAUUCAUCAUAUCUCUCUAUCCGUUACAAAAGUGUAAAUAUAUAUAUAUAUAUAUAUAUACAACACAAAAGAAAAAGGGACCCAAUACAUUAUACAAGCCCAAAGCCAAGAAAAAAAGAAAAAUAACAAAGGCUUGGGCCAGGCCAAAGCAGAUGUCCUCAUCAACUCUC
This 32430-nucleotide long non-coding RNA is filed under the name Olea europaea (common olive). Its description in RNAcentral is "long non-coding RNA (OEUR_LNC005759)". The record is from RNAcentral. Lineage: Eukaryota; Viridiplantae; Streptophyta; Magnoliopsida; Lamiales; Oleaceae.